AUUGAACGCUAGCGGGAUGCCUUACACAUGCAAGUCGAACGGCAGCGCGGACUUCGGUCUGGCGGCGAGUGGCGAACGGGUGAGUAAUGUAUCGGAACGUGCCCAGUAGCGGGGGAUAACUACUCGAAAGAGUAGCUAAUACCGCAUACGCCCUACGGGGGAAAGGGGGGGAUCGCAAGACCUCUCACUAUUGGAGCGGCCCAUAUCGGAUUAGCUAGUUGGUGAGGUAAAGGCUCACCAAGGCGGCGAUCCGUAGCUGGUUUGAGAGGACGACCAGCCACACUGGGACUGAGACACGGCCCAGACUCCUACGGGAGGCAGCAGUGGGGAAUUUUGGACAAUGGGGGCAACCCUGAUCCAGCCAUUCCGCGUGUGCGAUGAAGGCCUUCGGGUUGUAAAGCACUUUUGGCAGGAAAGAAAUCGCACGGAUUAAUACUCUGUGUGGAUGACGGUACCUGCAGAAUAAGCACCGGCUAACUACGUGCCAGCCGCCGCAGUAA
This 500-nucleotide ribosomal RNA is filed under the name uncultured bacterium. RNAcentral's name for it is "partial 16S ribosomal RNA". It matches the Rfam family "Bacterial small subunit ribosomal RNA", at positions 30 to 523 of the family's 1533-position model. The record is from RNAcentral.